UUCAUAUAAUAAAGCAGAAAAUAUACAAAUCAUAAUAAUAGUGACACGGGGAAGAGGACGAAAGAAAAUCACAAUUCAAGAAUUUAUGCCUAUCCAUAUCGAAAGAAUUCUGCAGUAAUACCCUUCUUCUCUCUACCUCAUCAACACCUUCCCAUUCAAAAAAUAUGAAGGAAAAAUAAUCUAAUCGUUAACAUUAAUUGAGAAUAAUCUAAGUCCAUUCAUUAAAUCCAAUUAAGAUAUUGAUUUUAAGAUAUUUGAAUACAAAUCUUCUCAUGCCAACAAUAAAGUAAGAAGCAACAAACCAAUUUACUAAUGAAUCAAGGGACUGAAGGGAGAAUAAGUUGAGAGGGGUGUGGAUAGAAAGAAUGAGAGGUGUACAUAGAAAUAAACUAAAGUGCGAGCAUUGAAAGAGUGUUGAGGGUGUUAUCUGAAGCAGUGUUGGUGGUGUAAAUAGUAUUUUGGCCUAUUAAUCGAAGAACUCUCUCAAACCUGGUACCAUUUGCAAAUGAUGUUUCACUAUUGAAAGCAAUAAAUAUGACACAAUCUGAAGAAGAACAACCUUGCCUUGUAAAUGGCUUCUUCUCUAAACACCCUCAAACCCAUAAAGAUCUUCAAAGAUAGUGGACAUACAAUCCCAGCCACAACCCCUGCUGGACUUAAACCGUUGCUAAUUGCGAGUUGCAAGUGAAUCUUCGCAACAGCCACCGCGUGCAACCCCAUUUAAUUAAUUUUCUGCGCACCACUUUCAAAUCGAUGUUCGACUCUCUAUAUAUUGCAACUUCAAUUAUAAGAGCAUGACAUUACACAUUUGCAUGUGUCAGUAGUAAUAGGAUGAUGCAUGAAUAUAAUUGGCCUUUCGGAAGAAGGAGAGGCGUA
Molecule: long non-coding RNA, 876 nt
Filed under: Trifolium pratense (red clover)
Lineage: Eukaryota; Viridiplantae; Streptophyta; Magnoliopsida; Fabales; Fabaceae
Description: long non-coding RNA (TPRA_LNC001104)
Source: RNAcentral